Globicephala melas (long-finned pilot whale) is the source of this 364-nucleotide long non-coding RNA. RefSeq lists it as uncharacterized. The record is from RefSeq and is a predicted model, not a curated record. NCBI's taxonomy places the organism in Eukaryota, Metazoa, Chordata, Mammalia, Artiodactyla, Delphinidae.
GGAGCUGUGUUUUUGUUUACUGACCCCCACCAUAUGCUCGGCACUGGGGGAGGAGAGCACGAGGCGGCUAAAAGAUGGGGAAACUGAGGCUCGGAGAGGUGAACUUGCCCUAGGUUACCCAGCGUGUGAACGUGAACGUAGGCAGCCUGGCUCCAGAGGAACGAAGGAAAAGAAAGACAAGUUCCUCUACCAGGCGCUAACUGGGACUGACAAGAAGAAUUAUAGAAAUCAAUGCUGCUGCCACUGCUUCCUGUCCCAGCUCCGCCACUACCUGGCUGCGAGGCCCUGGAACGUGUCUCUUCCUUCCAUGAGCCUCUGUCUGAGGCCCCUUGUAGCUCAGGCUUCUGGUCUACCUUCUCUCAGG